AAGACUAUACUUUCAGGGAUCAUUUCUUUAGUUCAUUACUAGAGAAGUUUCUCUUUGGUGGGAAUGUAAAUUGAUACAGCCACUAUGGAGAACAGUAUGGAGGU
This is a small nucleolar RNA of Balaenoptera musculus (blue whale), 104 nucleotides long. Its record names the gene U3. It matches the Rfam family "Small nucleolar RNA U3". Rfam says of the family: Small nucleolar RNAs (snoRNAs) are involved in the processing and modification of rRNA in the nucleolus. There are two main classes of snoRNAs: the box C/D class, and the box H/ACA class. Lineage: Eukaryota; Metazoa; Chordata; Mammalia; Artiodactyla; Balaenopteridae. The record is from Ensembl.